CUGCUUAUAUGGUAAGCAACCUGCAAAUACAGUAAACUGCAUAUACGAUAUAUUGCAUACAUGAUAUAUUCAAAAUCGGUGUCUAAACUACAUAUACGGUAUGUGAUAAUCCAGUUUCAUUAACACCAUUAUAUUCCAACAUCUAAUCUAGACAUGCAUUUGGAAUCUGACUCGAUCGAUUAAUUCAUUUUAAUUCUCCAAUUCUCGUUAUUGAUCAAAAACCAAGGAAAAUUCGAAUGGAAGCUAGACUAAUCAACAUGAAAUUGUAUAAUAACCCUGAUUCUUAUUGAAAUUAAUCUGCAUUGCCACAUUUCUUGUUUACUGGAGACUUCAGUCUUUCCUGGACAUCAACGACAAUCAAAAUGCCUAAAAUAUAUCUACUUCGAAAAGUAACGGGCAACCUUCCAUAAACGUUGAGUAUGGUUAAUUCCGUGCUCGACCUGGAAAACAGGCAUUGUUAAUGAUGACUUCUAUGUAAAACAAUUAUACAAGUACUUCCAACCAUGUUAUUCAAGGUGUAAUUGAAAAUUUACGAUGGAAGUAAAGCCUCUCACUCAAGGGCGGAGUCAAGAUAUUAGUUCAGUGCGAGCAAACUUUUUUCAACGCCAAACGUCAAGGUUUUGGUCAUGGAUUUAAUGAGAUAAAAAAUAAAAAAAUAUUGCGACAAUACUAAAAACAACAUAAUUUAAGCAAUUCGCAUUUCACAGGGCAACACUAUCAUCAAUUCACAGAUUCACAAUGCAGAUUUGAACGUUGCUACAUUACCAGUUACUGUCAAAGCCGCUUGAAGAGCUACCAAGACCUUGAAAUCAUAGGCAAAGUAAAUGUUUGAUUUAAUACAUCUGACUUAAUCUACUUUGAAUCAAGCACCAGCUUCCUAGUUUACAGCAUUUAAUGUCCAUUGCUGAAGAAGAAAAGUAGACUAUGCUUCUCACUUUUUACCAUUUCAACCAAUUAAAAGCUACCAGCAUAGUAUCGUCAUAAUAACCAAACAAUUGUUCGACCAUCAACCUCCCACUCAAUAACGUCAUUCGCAUUUCACAGGGCAAAACUAUCAUCAUUCACAAAUUCACAAUUUCAUUCACAAGGCAAUAUAUACUAUUUCAAAAUUCCAGUGACAGAGACUCAGAGAGUAAGCAACUCACAGUGUAGGCAGUGGCGGUGCCGCUUCGAGUUCGAGCAAUUGAAGAGCUACUAAUUUCAUACGUUAAAAACAAAAACAAAAAAGAAAAAGAAAAAAAAAACAAAUAUUAUUA
RNAcentral lists this long non-coding RNA (1256 nucleotides) under Olea europaea subsp. europaea. Lineage: Eukaryota; Viridiplantae; Streptophyta; Magnoliopsida; Lamiales; Oleaceae. The record is from RNAcentral.